Molecule: ribosomal RNA, 497 nt
Filed under: uncultured bacterium
Lineage: Bacteria
Description: partial 16S ribosomal RNA
Rfam family: Bacterial small subunit ribosomal RNA
Source: RNAcentral
GAUGAACGCUGGCGGCGUGCCUAAUACAUGCAAGUCGAGCGAACAGACGAGGAGCUUGCUCCUCUGACGUUAGCGGCGGACGGGUGAGUAACACGUGGAUAACCUACCUAUAAGACUGGGAUAACUUCGGGAAACCGGAGCUAAUACCGGAUAAUAUAUUGAACCGCAUGGUUCAAUAGUGAAGGACGGUUUUGCUGUCACUUAUAGAUGGAUCCGCGCCGCAUUAGCUAGUUGGUAAGGUAACGGCUUACCAAGGCAACGAUGCGUAGCCGACCUGAGAGGGUGAUCGGCCACACUGGAACGGAGACACGGUCCAGACUCCUACGGGAGGCAGCAGUAGGGAAUCUUCCGCAAUGGGCGAAAGCCUGACGGAGCAACGCCGCGUGAGUGAUGAAGGUCUUCGGAUCGUAAAACUCUGUUAUUAGGGAAGAACAAAUGUGUAAGUAACUAUGCACGUCUUGACGGUACCUAAUCAGAAAGCCACGGCUAACUACGUG